UUUAACUUAAAAUAUAUAAGUAUUAUGUAUAUAGCUUUCGGUAUAUCUGUUUUAUUGCAGUUUUUUACACAAUGCUACACAAGCGUUAUGUAAUAUGUAUGGAUCUGGUGUAAAGUUUGGAUUCUCAAAACCUAACAUUUACAGAGCAAUAGUUGAUGUUGUUCUUUUCAAGAACAAAGAGGCUACUACAGCUGAAAUAUGCCAAAUAAUCAUGCUUCAACUAAAACAUGCGCCUCGGCGAUCCAAUGGUGGAGGAUCGAUUAUUCGCAAGUUUCCUAAUGAAGAAUAAUCGUUGUCAGAGAUGCUUUUUUAUGCUGAUUUUUAUGUAUAGCUUUGCUGCUAAAAGUAAUUUAAAAA
Molecule: non-coding RNA, 357 nt
Organism: Hydra vulgaris (swiftwater hydra)
Lineage: Eukaryota; Metazoa; Cnidaria; Hydrozoa; Anthoathecata; Hydridae
Source: RefSeq, a predicted model, not a curated record